GAUGGGAGCUUGCUCCCUGAUGUUAGCGGCGGACGGGUGAGUAACACGUGGGUAACCUGCCUGUAAGACUGGGAUAACUCCGGGAAACCGGGGCUAAUACCGGAUGGUUGUCUGAACCGCAUGGUUCAGACAUAAAAGGUGGCUUCGGCUACCACUUACAGAUGGACCCGCGGCGCAUUAGCUAGUUGGUGAGGUAACGGCUCACCAAGGCGACGAUGCGUAGCCGACCUGAGAGGGUGAUCGGCCACACUGGGACUGAGACACGGCCCAGACUCCUACGGGAGGCAGCAGUAGGGAAUCUUCCGCAAUGGACGAAAGUCUGACGGAGCAACGCCGCGUGAGUGAUGAAGGUUUUCGGAUCGUAAAGCUCUGUUGUUAGGGAAGAACAAGUGCCGUUCAAAUAGGGCGGCACCUUGACGGUACCUAACCAGAAAGCCACGGCUAACUACGUGCCAGCAGCCGCGGUAAUACGUAGGUGGCAAGCGUUGUCCGGAAUUAUUGGGCGUAAAGGGCUCGCAGGCGGUUUCUUAAGUCUGAUGUGAAAGCCCCCGGCUCAACCGGGGAGGGUCAUUGGAAACUGGGGAACUUGAGUGCAGAAGAGGAGAGUGGAAUUCCACGUGUAGCGGUGAAAUGCGUAGAGAUGUGGAGGAACACCAGUGGCGAAGGCGACUCUCUGGUCUGUAACUGACGCUGAGGAGCGAAAGCGUGGGGAGCGAACAGGAUUAGAUACCCUGGUAGUCCACGCCGUAAACGAUGAGUGCUAAGUGUUAGGGGGUUUCCGCCCCUUAGUGCUGCAGCUAACGCAUUAAGCACUCCGCCUGGGGAGUACGGUCGCAAGACUGAAACUCAAAGGAAUUGACGGGGGC
Molecule: ribosomal RNA, 866 nt
Filed under: Bacillus wiedmannii
Lineage: Bacteria; Bacillati; Bacillota; Bacilli; Caryophanales; Bacillaceae
Description: bacterial SSU rRNA
Rfam family: Bacterial small subunit ribosomal RNA
Source: RNAcentral